GACGAACGCUGGCGGCGUGCUUAACACAUGCAAGUCGAACGGAAAGGCCUUUUCGGAGGUACUCGAGUGGCGAACGGGUGAGUAACACGUGGGUGAUCUGCCCUGCACUCUGGGAUAAGCCUGGGAAACUGGGCCUAAUACCGGAUAGGACCGCACUUUAGUGUGUGUGGUGGAAAGUUUUUUCGGUGUAGGAUGAGCCCGCGGCCUAUCAGCUUGUUGGUGGGGUAAUGGCCUACCAAGGCAGCGACGGGUAGCCGGACUGAGAGGUUGGUCGGCCACAUUGGGACUGAGAUACGGCCCAGACUCCUACGGGAGGCAGCAGUGGGGAAUAUUGCACAAUGGGCGCAAGCCUGAUGCAGCGACGCCGCGUGGGGGAUGACGGCCUUCGGGUUGUAAACUCCUUUCGCCAGGGACGAAGCGUUUUGUGACGGUACCUGGAGAAGAAGCACCGGCUAACUACGUG
This 463-nucleotide ribosomal RNA is filed under the name uncultured bacterium. RNAcentral describes it as "partial 16S ribosomal RNA". It matches the Rfam family "Bacterial small subunit ribosomal RNA", at positions 28 to 507 of the family's 1533-position model. The record is from RNAcentral.